Molecule: long non-coding RNA, 605 nt
Filed under: Nicotiana benthamiana
Lineage: Eukaryota; Viridiplantae; Streptophyta; Magnoliopsida; Solanales; Solanaceae
Description: long non-coding RNA (NBEN_LNC040469)
Source: RNAcentral
AUAAAUUCCACAAGAAAUCUAUUUUUUCCUCUUCAUAUUAGCUUCAUAAUAGUUCAUCAUUUAUAUACACAAAAACACAAAAAAGAAAUACAUACAGAAAUGAAAAACAACAAAAAAAAGAUUCACUAUUUCAUUAAUUUUGGAUAGAUUCUGGAUUUUUCUUUAGGAUUCUGCCUUACAACUUGGUUUGGGGUUUAUUUUGAGUUGAUAUGGGUUUGUUCUUGCUGGGGUCGUGGUUUUUCUGUUGUUUUUUCUUUUCAAUUUUCUAGGGUUUCAAAAGGAGUUUUGCGGUUUUAAAAGUAUUCAUGUGGGUUAUUACUGGGUAUUAGCUAUUUGUACCUGAUUAUUUGGAUGUGUUGAAUUAAUUCCAAUCGUUGAAUUCACUUUGGCUUGCUGUUGUUGCAUUGAUUUGCUGACCUUUUCCUCCAUUCUCUUAUUUUUCUCCCAUUUCCAGGUAUACUCUUGAAUCUUCCUGAUGUAGCCUUGAGUUGAAGUGAACUGGCAGUUGGAUUCGAACUUAGACAAUUUGUGUUAUCAUGUGGAAAUUGUCAAUUGAAAUAAAUGCUUAAGUUCUUGUGAUUGUGUAUUAGUACUGUUUAUUCGUC